Molecule: transfer RNA, 76 nt
Filed under: Candidatus Chromulinivorax sp.
Lineage: Bacteria; Candidatus Babeliae; Candidatus Babeliales; Candidatus Chromulinivoracaceae
Description: tRNA-His
Rfam family: tRNA
About the family: Transfer RNA (tRNA) molecules are approximately 80 nucleotides in length. Their secondary structure includes four short double-helical elements and three loops (D, anti-codon, and T loops).
Source: RNAcentral
GUGGAAUUAGCUCAGCUGGCAGAGCAUCAGAUUGUGGUUCUGAGGGUCGUGGGUUCGAACCCCACAUUCCACCCCA